GAUGAACGCUAGCGGGAGGCCUAAUACAUGCAAGUCGAGCGCUGUAGCAAUACGGAGCGGCAGACGGGUGCGUAACGCGGUAUGAAACUUGCCCUAUACAGGAGAAUAGCCUUGGGAAACUGAGAGUAAUACUCCAUAAUAUUAUUGAAUGGCAUCAUUUAAUAAUUAAAGCUCCGGCGGUAUAGGAUAGUCGUGCGUCCGAUUAGCUAGUUGGUAGGGUAAAGGCCUACCAAGGCGACGAUCGGUAGCUGGUCUGAGAGGAUGAUCAGCCACACGGGCACUGAGACACGGGCCCGACUCCUACGGGAGGCAGCAGUAAGGAAUAUUGGACAAUGGAGGCAACUCUGAUCCAGCCAUCCCGCGUGGAGGAAUAAUGCCCUAUGGGUUGUAAACUCCUUUAGCUAGGGAAUAAAUCAGUGGAUUCAUCCGCUGUUGAAGGUACCUAGAGA
Molecule: ribosomal RNA, 449 nt
Filed under: uncultured Sphingobacteriales bacterium
Lineage: Bacteria; Pseudomonadati; Bacteroidota; Sphingobacteriia; Sphingobacteriales
Description: bacterial SSU rRNA
Rfam family: Bacterial small subunit ribosomal RNA
Source: RNAcentral